This is a long non-coding RNA of Saccostrea cuccullata (small rock oyster), 440 nucleotides long. RefSeq lists it as uncharacterized. Lineage: Eukaryota; Metazoa; Mollusca; Bivalvia; Ostreida; Ostreidae. The transcript has 3 exons. The record is from RefSeq and is a predicted model, not a curated record.
CUAAGUUAAGUCUCGCGAGAUGUGACUAUAUUUAAAUCACUCGAGUGGCGGCUGUCGGUCCGUGCAGUCGUAGUUUUCUGCCUCGCUGCCCAACAGUUUUUGUUAGCUGUAGCGUCGUCAUAUAGCGAAGUAAGAAUGGCUGUGGUGCUAAAACCCAGGACCAGUUUAAUUGGAAAAAGUUUGGUGCCAGUAGUUUUGAAGUUGAAAGCUUCAGAUGGUAAUUCGGAGGAUUUGACGUUGGCCAGGUUGAAAAGAGGAUAUCCUUUAGAGGAUUACUCAUUGGCUGACCUCAGAACAGAGUUUGAAAAAUUGACAGGAGAGUCAGUCAAGGAUAUUCUGAUGUUGGCAGGAAAGGAGGAUAAUAUUGAGACUGUAAGAAUCCUCAUGAGUUACACUAUUGAACAUGCCAAUACGGUAGGGGCUCCUAGGGGCCAGGUACU